AAUUUUAAAAUAUGGAAACAAGGUUAUAAGAAUACAAAUUACAAUUAAAUGUGCAAUUUUAUUUUUCAAUUAAGCAAUUCAAGUUUGGUAUGAAUUAAUUAUUUAGUACAAAAUAUUGAUACAGUAAAUACAUAGAGACUCAUAGUAAUGUGUUUAUUACCCAGCUAAAAAGUAUACCACACAAUCAAACACAGUUGAGUCAGAGUAAUUAUGUUCCAAUAGUAUGUCGUCUAAAUCCCAACAUCCAUCUUCAAUAAUUAUAUCAAGUUUUUGUCUCAAAUUAUUAAUUUUUUUUGUUCUUUGAGAUAUAUUUUCUGGGUCAUUAAUCAAUUCUUUCAAGUCACCAACAGAUAUUACAGGAAUGCAUUCUACCUUCUGAUACUGUACAAUUCCCAGAUUUUGGUGGCUUUACAACUGAAUAAACUGUCAACAUCCUGUAUAGUUGCAAAAAAGUUGGUGUUGAGGGGUGGUCAUUAGGCCCAGCCACCUGCCUAAGUAUUCCAAAAAACUUCUGAAAGUUAAUAAGGUUAAUACAUAUGCGAACCCACAGUCAUUUAUUAGAUAAUUUACUAAAUCUAUAGUAGAUUGCAGAGUUAUUUUCAAGCCAUCAUAUGUUGAACGGUUAGAGUUUUAUUUUGAAACAACCGAUUCCUAAUAUUUUUCAAAAGAUGUGGUGCAUCAGAAAACAUAUAUACUUUUCUGGAAGUAUCAAAAGGAUUUUCAAUGUAAUUUUUGAAGUCUUGUUUUUUUGCUGAAACCUUAAAAGUUAAAUAGUGCGAUUUGUUGAUGCGCCAUCACAAGUGAUACCAACAACAUGGGCACCAGCAUCUUCCAUUAAUAGGAUGGCCUUGACUACCAGCUUUGAGAGUUCAAUUCCUACAUUAAUAUUACAAAUUAUUGCUUUUCUAUGGAUCUUAAAUAUUUUUCUCUGAAUAAGUCAGUUUAUGAAAACAUACAACAUUAUCAGUAGUACCAUACAACUUAUUAAUAUCAACAAACCAUUUGAAUGGUAGAUUAAUGAUACUUAUUGAUUUGCAAAUAGAAAUAAAUAAUGGAUUUGCAACAACUAACGUUAAAGCUGGUGGUGGUUGUUCAGGAGUACUGGUUGAUGAAAAUAAAUGCUCAUCAAAACUAUUGAUAUUUUUUUCAACUGUCGACAAACUAUUAUUUAAACUUGUACCAUCACUUUCACUUAUGAUACAAUAAGAAUGAUCGUUUAAUACAGAAGACAUUUCCUCAUCAUUAAUCUUAAAAAUUAUUAUUCAAUGCAAUAUUUAGUACUCAAUAAAAGUAUAAGGCGUAGAAGUAUUUAAGACUUCUGAAUUUAGGACAACCUCCUUAAUUUUGUUUACCACUGUAAGUUUAGGAAUAGCACCCGGUUUCAAUUUUGGUAUUUUCAAACAUAUCUUUAAGCAAAAUUUAAAACAUUGUCAGUUUAUCAACAGUUGUUUAGCUUAAGAUGAAUCAAAACAUUGUUUUAAAUAAUGAUGUUAAGUACUGUACAUUUUCUAAAAUGUAAUUGUAAUUUUAAAAAAUAUUGUAAUAAUACAGUACCGUAUAUUUGCUAAAUCCUUUCCCAGAUUCCCAUGUUCUUAUAACAUCAUUUUUGUCAAAAUGGUUCUCGCAAACCCUCGAACUGGGAUUUAAUUUUAAGUUUAACGAUUUUUCCCAUACAAUUUUUAAACUAUUGUCUUUUGGGAUACCAAAUUUGCUUUUAAAUAGUUCAUUACAAAACGGGACACAACAUGAUUUAGCCAUUUUUAAAUUGUAAAAAGAUAAAAACAAUAAAUAAAACUCAGUCAAUUUGAAUUUUGAGCAUACAUUUGUUUUACUCUUGUGCCCACCACAAUUAUACAUGCCCGCCAUAAUUCUUAUUUCUUAUCUCUUUUCUAUGAAGUAUGAAUUUAGGCAUAAAUUCAUAGUAAUUCAUAGUAUUUAGCUAUGUACAGACAUAAUAUUAAUAUAUUAGAAUAGAUAAAUAUUAAAUUAAUAUAAUAUCUAUUAAUCUUAAAUCGUGAUCUGGGUAAUGGGUAUGUAAAAUGUAAUAUUUAGAUAAUGUAAGGAAAUUGAAAUUGUCUGCUGUGCCCAGUUUGUUUUUGCCGGUACUAAAUAAUUUAUUUAAAAAUGUAUAACAACAAUUAUUUUAAUAAUAUUACCUACAUAUAUAGGUAAUUGAAGUAGUAAAUGAAGAACAUGAGCAUAAUAAUAUGGAAUUAACAUUUGAUGUUGAGGAAAUCAAAUUGAAUAAUUAUGGUAUCAGUGAUGAAAGUUUGGCAUUGGAUAGAAAUGAAAUAAAUAACAGUAUUUGUAAUGAAAAUUUACCAAUAACUCCAAAAAUUUUAUUUCCUCAAGUAAUAAACCACAUAAGACAUACCUAACAUUAAAUAAGCAUUAAGUUAAAAGUAUACAUAAUAAAUUAUAUUUAGUAGUGCAGCUUUAGUACAACAUACCCCAGAAUAUUUUUUAUUUAAAAAAUAAGGGAAAUAUUGUCUAUUUAAAUAAAAAAAAAUAUAAAAUACACAUACUACUUAUAAUGUAUUAUAUAUUAGGUGGUGUGGUAAAACUUGUUUUUACAUGAUAUUUUAUAAAUUAUAAAUAAUUAUUUUAUACGAUAAUUAAGAAAUAAAAAUGUAGUAAUAUAAUACACUUUAAAUAAAUAAUUAUUAUUUAUUAUGUUUAACAGCCUUUGGUUAGAAAUCCAGAAACCUCUUGUGUUUAUUGUAG
Aphis gossypii (cotton aphid) is the source of this 2724-nucleotide RNA transcript. RefSeq lists it as uncharacterized. The transcript is spliced from 10 exons. Lineage: Eukaryota; Metazoa; Arthropoda; Insecta; Hemiptera; Aphididae. The record is from RefSeq and is a predicted model, not a curated record.